UACGUAGGCAGCAAGCGUUGUUCGGAAUUACUGGGCGUAAAGGGUGCGUAGGCGGCUUUUAAGUUUGGUGUGAAAUCUCCCGGCUCAACUGGGAGGGUGCGCCGAAUACUGAGAAGCUAGAGUGUGGGAGAGGAAAGUGGAAUUCCUGGUGUAGCGGUGAAAUGCGUAGAUAUCAGGAGGAACACCGGUGGUGUAAACGGCUUCUGGACCAUAACUGACGCUGAGGCAACGAAAAGCGUGGGUAGCAAACAGG
This 253-nucleotide ribosomal RNA is filed under the name uncultured bacterium. Its description in RNAcentral is "partial 16S ribosomal RNA". It matches the Rfam family "Bacterial small subunit ribosomal RNA", at positions 524 to 776 of the family's 1533-position model. The record is from RNAcentral.